GACGAACGCUGGCGGCGUGCUUAACACAUGCAAGUCGAACGAAGAGCGAUGGAAGCUUGCUUCUAUCAAUCUUAGUGGCGAACGGGUGAGUAACGCGUAAUCAACCUGCCCUUCAGAGGGGGACAACAGUUGGAAACGACUGCUAAUACCGCAUACGAUCUAAUCUCGGCAUCGAGGAUAGAUGAAAGGUGGCCUCUACAUGUAAGCUAUCACUGAAGGAGGGGAUUGCGUCUGAUUAGCUAGUUGGAGGGGUAACGGCCCACCAAGGCGAUGAUCAGUAGCCGGUCUGAGAGGAUGAACGGCCACAUUGGGACUGAGACACGGCCCAGACUCCUACGGGAGGCAGCAGUGGGGAAUCUUCCGCAAUGGACGAAAGUCUGACGGAGCAACGCCGCGUGAGCGAUGACGGCCUUCGGGUUGUAAAGCUCUGUUAAUCGGGACGAAAGGCCUUCUUGCGAAUAGUGAGAAGGAUUGACGGUACCG
Molecule: ribosomal RNA, 483 nt
Filed under: Veillonella parvula
Lineage: Bacteria; Bacillati; Bacillota; Negativicutes; Veillonellales; Veillonellaceae
Description: bacterial SSU rRNA
Rfam family: Bacterial small subunit ribosomal RNA
Source: RNAcentral